CCUAAAGGGGAGACAAGUCGUAACAGAGUGGGUGUAACGGAAGUUGCGCCUGU
Molecule: ribosomal RNA, 53 nt
Filed under: Criodrilus lacuum
Lineage: Eukaryota; Metazoa; Annelida; Clitellata; Crassiclitellata; Almidae
Description: partial 12S ribosomal RNA
Source: RNAcentral